RNAcentral lists this transfer RNA (86 nucleotides) under Acidobacteriota bacterium. RNAcentral describes it as "Acidobacteria bacterium tRNA-Leu". It matches the Rfam family "tRNA". From Rfam's summary of the family: Transfer RNA (tRNA) molecules are approximately 80 nucleotides in length. Lineage: Bacteria; Pseudomonadati; Acidobacteriota. The record is from RNAcentral.
GCCGGAGUGGCGAAAUGGCAGACGCACGGGAUUUAAAAUCCCGGGCCCGCAAGGGCAUGAGGGUUCGACCCCCUCCUCCGGCACCA